AGUGAUGAUAGAGGCGCGGAGUUCAAGAGUACAAGCUUGGAGAAGAAUGAGCUUCCAUGAAAAGUUUGGAAAGGGGACGGCCGCCGAAGCAGUGAAAGGCUCAUUCCUUUUUCUGCUGGUUCUGUGUUUAAGAAAUGCAGAACUGUCAAGAUGGUAUCGUCUUGGAGAGCUAUCUCACGC
Non-coding RNA from Bacillus smithii, 180 nucleotides. NCBI's taxonomy places the organism in Bacteria, Bacillati, Bacillota, Bacilli, Caryophanales, Bacillaceae. The record is from Rfam.